GAUGAACGCUGGCGGCGUGCCUAAUACAUGCAAGUCGAGCGAACAGACGAGGAGCUUGCUCCUCUGACGUUAGCGGCGGACGGGUGAGUAACACGUGGAUAACCUACCUAUAAGACUGGGAUAACUUCGGGAAACCGGAGCUAAUACCGGAUAAUAUAUUGAACCGCAUGGUUCAAUAGUGAAAGACGGGUUUGCUGUCAAUUAUAGAUGGAUCCGCGCCGCAUUAGCUAGUUGGUAAGGUAACGGCUUACCAAGGCAACGAUGCGUAGCCGACCUGAGAGGGUGAUCGGCCACACUGGAACUGAGACACGGUCCAGACUCCUACGGGAGGCAGCAGUAGGGAAUCUUCCGCAAUGGGCGAAAGCUUGACGGAGCAACGCCGCGUGAGUGAUGAAGGUCUUCGGAUCGUAAAACUCUGUUAUUAGGGAAGAACAAAUGUGUAAGUAACUAUGCACGUCUUGACGGUACCUAAUCAGAAAGCCACGGCUAACUACGUG
RNAcentral lists this ribosomal RNA (497 nucleotides) under uncultured bacterium. RNAcentral's name for it is "partial 16S ribosomal RNA". It matches the Rfam family "Bacterial small subunit ribosomal RNA", at positions 28 to 507 of the family's 1533-position model. The record is from RNAcentral.